RNAcentral lists this unclassified non-coding RNA (330 nucleotides) under soil metagenome. RNAcentral describes it as "partial contains 5.8S ribosomal RNA, internal transcribed spacer 2, and large subunit ribosomal RNA". The stretch from base 1 to 120 matches the Rfam family "5.8S ribosomal RNA", at positions 35 to 154 of the family's 154-position model. The record is from RNAcentral.
GAUGAAGAACGUAGCGAAAUGCGAUAAGUAAUGUGAAUUGCAGAAUUCAGUGAAUCAUCGAAUCUUUGAACGCACAUUGCGCCCCUUGGUAUUCCGAGGGGCAUGCCUGUUCGAGCGUCAUUUCAACCCUCAAGCACAGCUUGGUCUUGGGCUUCGCCGCUAACCCGGCGGGUCUUAAAAUCAGUGGCGGUGCCGUCGGGCCCUGAGCGCAGUAAUCUCUCUCGCUAUAGGGUCCCGGCGGAUGCUGGCCAGUAACCCCCAAUUUUCUAUGGUUGACCUCGUAUCAGGUAGGGAUACCCGCUGAACUUAAGCAUAUCAAUAAGCGGAGGA